Molecule: ribosomal RNA, 724 nt
Filed under: uncultured bacterium
Lineage: Bacteria
Description: bacterial SSU rRNA
Rfam family: Bacterial small subunit ribosomal RNA
Source: RNAcentral
AGCUGGAGCAAUCUGGUGAGUAAAGUGGCGUACGGGUGAGUAACACGUGGAUUAUCUGCCUUUUUGUGGGGGAUAACCUGGGGAAACCUGGGCUAAUACCGCAUAAGCUCGAGAGAGGAAAGCCGUAAGGCGCAGAAAGAGGAGUCCGCGGUCGAUUAGCUAGUUGGUGAGGUAAGAGCUCACCAAGGCGACGAUCGAUAGCCGGCCUGAGAGGGCACACGGCCACACUGGCACUGAAACACGGGCCAGACUCCUACGGGAGGCAGCAGUGGGGAAUCUUGCACAAUGGGGGAAACCCUGAUGCAGCGACGCCGCGUGAGCGAUGAAGCCCUUCGGGGUGUAAAGCUCUUUCGACAGGAACGAUAAUGACGGUACCUGUGGAAGAAGCUGCGGCUAACUACGUGCCAGCAGCCGCGGUAAUACGUAGGCAGCAAGCGUUGUUCGGAGUUACUGGGCGUAAAGGGUGUGUAGGCGGUUCACUAAGUUCGGUGUGAAAUCUCCCGGCUUAACUGGGAGGGUGCAUUGAAAACUGGUGGGCUUGAGUAUGGGAGAGGUAAGCGGAAUUCCUGGUGUAGCGGUGAAAUGCGUAGAUAUCAGGAGGAACACCUGUGGUGUAGACAGCUUACUGGACCAUCACUGACGCUGAGACACGAAAGCGUGGGUAGCAAACAGGAUUAGAUACCCUGGUAGUCCACGCCCUAAACGAUGCAUACUUGGUGUGAGC